RNAcentral lists this ribosomal RNA (253 nucleotides) under uncultured bacterium. RNAcentral's name for it is "partial 16S ribosomal RNA". It matches the Rfam family "Bacterial small subunit ribosomal RNA", at positions 524 to 776 of the family's 1533-position model. The record is from RNAcentral.
UACGUAGGGAGCAAGCGUUGUCCGGAAUCAUUGGGCGUAAAGCGCGCGUAGGCGGCCCUGUAAGUCCGUUGUGAAAGUCAAAGGCUCAACCUUUGAAAGCCGAUGGAUACUGCAGGGCUAGAGUCCGGAAGAGGCGAGUGGAAUUCCUGGUGUAGCGGUGGAAUGCGCAGAUAUCAGGAGGAACACCAAUAGCGAAGGCAGCUCGCUGGGCCGAUACUGACGCUGAGGAGCGAAAGCGUGGGGAGCAAACAGG